Molecule: ribosomal RNA, 482 nt
Filed under: uncultured bacterium
Lineage: Bacteria
Description: partial 16S ribosomal RNA
Rfam family: Bacterial small subunit ribosomal RNA
Source: RNAcentral
AUUGAACGCUGGCGGCAUGUUUUACACGUGCAAGUCGAACGGUAACAGGCCGCAAGGUGCUGACGAGUGGCGAACGGGUGAGUAAUGCAUCGGAACGUGCCCAGUCGUGGGGGAUAACUACUCGCAAGAGUAGCUAAUACCGCAUACGAUCUAUGGAUGAACGCGGGGGACCGUAAGGCCUCGCUCGAUUGGAGCGGCCGAUGUCAGAUUAGGUAGUUGGUGGGGUAAAGGCUCACCAAGCCAACGAUCUGUAGCUGGUCUGAGAGGACGACCAGCCUCACUGGGACUGAGACACGGCCCAGACUCCUACGGGAGGCAGCAGUGGGGAAUUUUGGACAAUGGGCGCAAGCCUGAUCCAGCAAUGCCGCGUGCAGGAAGAAGGCCUUCGGGUUGUAAACUGCUUUUGUACGGAACGAAACGGCUCUGGUUAAUACCCGGGGCUAAUGACGGUACCGUAAGAAUAAGCACCGGCUAGCUACGUG